Molecule: long non-coding RNA, 2036 nt
Organism: Mizuhopecten yessoensis (Yesso scallop)
Lineage: Eukaryota; Metazoa; Mollusca; Bivalvia; Pectinida; Pectinidae
Exons: 4
Source: RefSeq, a predicted model, not a curated record
UUAAAGUGCUAUCUCGCUGAAAUACCAUACCGAAGACACCCAGCUCAGCAUUCCGCCCGAUCACAUUAUAUUAACAGCGGGUGAACUAGUUGUUGCAAUUACCCUUAAUGCUGAACGUUCAGCAGGGAAUAAUAACUACCAUUGUAAGGGCUUUGAUAUGUCCAGGCCUGGGGACAGUACCCAUCGCCUUCCUCACCUGGGCUAACGCUCAACAUUGAAGCCAAACGUGAGGUAUUGACACGCAAGGCACUAGGAAAUAUAAGGUAGUUAGAAGUAGAGAGAAAUAUUAAUAUCCCAACUAUUGCAGCAGCAUAUUUAUAUUGGUCGCUUUUUUGUCCUCAAAUACAGGACACAAAAGCAAGUCCUCAAUUCUGCAGGGGUUUAACAUUAGUCGCCUCUUACGAUACUUUUUUCUCUAUCCCAGACCCUGCAGGGGUGCGGCCAGUAAUAGAUCACUAGGCUUUUUAUAUGUCAGAAGUUAAUUCAUGUUUACAAUAUUGGUGCAUUAUAAUUUUUAUGAAGAAAUUCUGUAUAUACAAACUUUUUUUCAGUUUGCGAUAAAUGUUGAAACACUUUGAUUUCUAGGAUAUUUUUUAUUAGUUUCAUGAUCACAUUGCUUACAACCAUGAAGUUUAGUAUGCAGUGUAUAGUGCGAGUGAUUAUCACAGAGUAAAACUGAGAAUAUCUGUCUGUGAUUGUUGUAUCUGGCACAUUCAAAGUAAUUGUGGAUUGUUUCUUGCAUUUAAAUGCAGCAGAUUUAAUAGAUGGUUAUUAUAGGGAUCAAAAUUUUAGUUGCUAGCAUUCUUUCUAAUUUAACAUAGUAUAAUAGCGAUUUUUCUUUUCCCACUGAAAAGUAUCAUUAAAUUUCUAGUUUUAUUAAUUAGUUGCUUAAAUUUGGAAUAAGAUUGAGAAUUUAUUUUAUUUUGAAGUUGAAAUGUUGAGGAAAAGUACCUUUAAAGUAGCUCUCAGUUCUACAUAUUAGGGGAUUAAGAACUCUACUUAAUCUUAGAUAAUAUUUCACAUUUGUUAAAUCAUUUAAAACAGGAUCAACAGUAUUAUGAAGGUACUUUUGUGAUGUUUUUUGCAAUAGUUUAUGCAUUAAAAUUGGUUCAUUUUUCCCUCCUUCAUGUAUCAGCUAAGGUUCCCCAUUCAAAUUCUUCUUAUAAUUUAUGGUGUGAUGUAUCUCUACGAAGCUCUGUCACGACUCUAGAAAUGUUUGAUUUCGCUCAGCAAUCAUCCCAAACUACAUUUUCAUAUUCUGAAAUCGGUCUAAUAUAAGAUAUAUUGUUUUAAGUGUACUGCUGUCAAGUGAGAUUUUAAGUCUUCUUGAUAAUUUUUUUUUUCAAAUGCAAUUUUGGAUAUAUUGACCAAAUUUACCAUCUUCGUUAAAAAUAAGAACUUCAUGUUUAUGGUAAGUACUGUCAUGUAGUGGUUUAUUAGAGAGGACCAUUGGAGAGUGGUUAGUUUCAUUUUCCGUGUGAAGAUCAUAGUUGUGGUUUUUGGAUGCAUGAAAUUUGAUAUCCCAAGAUUUUGUUCAUUUUUCAAACUUUUUUUCCUCAAAUUUGUUUUAUUUCCAUAGCAAUUUAAAAUGGCGUCCUAGCAACCAAACCGGAGGUGACAUUAUCACAGCUUCUAGUCUAGAUACAGAUAUGCAGUAAAGUGUUUUGAAAAGUUACUAUCCGGCCAAGGUCAAAACCAACCUGUAGAAGAAAACUUGUGUUCUAACUUGAUCUAACACGGAGAAACACCAUUACGUUCAUGCUCAGCUGAUCGUUGGGCAACACACGUGUCGUCGGUGAGACCAAUCUCUUAGAGAGGUUUUCUACAUUCCCUGAAUAUAUACUGUGGAAGACGCGCUAUAACCUUGCUGCAGCUUUCUUCGAAUACUAUUACUAUUCAGGAGACUGCAUCAGGUGCACUUUAUGCGCAGCCAUGCGUCGGCGUCCGGUGGGAGCCCUAUAUCCCGAGCGACUUCGUCGUCUCCACUUCCGUACCUGUGAGGUAUUCAACCACCAACGCAUAACUACCUUUCGGGA